This is a non-coding RNA of Ixodes scapularis (black-legged tick), 82 nucleotides long. The record is from Rfam. Lineage: Eukaryota; Metazoa; Arthropoda; Arachnida; Ixodida; Ixodidae.
GCAGUCGCGACCGAGUGGCUAAGGCAAUGGACUAGAAAUCCAUUGGGGUCUCCCCGCACAAUUUCGAAUCCUGUCAACUGCG